RNAcentral lists this ribosomal RNA (301 nucleotides) under uncultured bacterium. RNAcentral describes it as "partial 16S ribosomal RNA". It matches the Rfam family "Bacterial small subunit ribosomal RNA", at positions 509 to 807 of the family's 1533-position model. The record is from RNAcentral.
CAGCAGCCGCGGUAAUACAGAGGGUGCAAGCGUUAAUCGGAAUUACUGGGCGUAAAGCGCGCGUAGGUGGUUUGUUAAGUUGGAUGUGAAAGCCCCGGGCUCAACCUGGGAACUGCAUCCAAAACUGGCAAGCUAGAGUACGGUAGAGGGUGGUGGAAUUUCCUGUGUAGCGGUGAAAUGCGUAGAUAUAGGAAGGAACACCAGUGGCGAAGGCGACCACCUGGACUGAUACUGACACUGAGGUGCGAAAGCGUGGGGAGCAAACAGGAUUAGAGACCCCAGUAGUCCCUGUCUCUUAUAC